GGAACGCUGGCGGUGCGCUUAUGCAUGCAGUCAAGCGAAGCUUUCAGUAGUUACUACAGAAAAUGACUGAGCGGCGAACGGGUGAGUAACGCGUGAGCAAUCUACCUUAGUUACAGGGAUAGCCCGAGGAAACUCGGAUUAAUACCUGAUAUUCUUUAUUUCUCGCAUGAGAAUAAAAGGAAAGGUCAGCCGAACUAAGAUGAGCUCGCGUUCUAUCAGCUAGUUGGUGAGGUAAAAGCUCACCAAGGCUACGACGGAUAGCUGGUCUGAGAGGACGAUCAGCCACACUGGGACUGAGACACGGCCCAGACUCCUACGGGAGGCUGCAGCAGGGAAUAUUGCGCAAUGAGCGAAAGCUUGACGCAGCGACACCGCGUGUGGGAUGACGGAUCUAGGUUUGUAAACCACUUUCAGGAGGGAAGAAAAUGACGGUACCUCCACAAGAAGCCCCGGCCAACUACGUGCCAGCAGCCGCGGUAAUACGUAGGGGGCGAGCGUUGUCCGGAUUUAUUGGGCGUAAAGAGCUCGUAGGCGGUUCAACAAGUCGGUCGUGAAAGUUCAGGGCUCAACCCUGAAAUGUCGAUCGAUACUGUUGUGACUAGGAUACGGUAGAGGUGAGUGGAAUUCCGAGUGUAGCGGUGAAAUGCGUAGAUAUUCGGAGGAACCCAAUAGCGA
This 675-nucleotide ribosomal RNA is filed under the name uncultured Actinomycetes bacterium. RNAcentral describes it as "bacterial SSU rRNA". It matches the Rfam family "Bacterial small subunit ribosomal RNA", at positions 30 to 718 of the family's 1533-position model. Lineage: Bacteria; Bacillati; Actinomycetota; Actinomycetes. The record is from RNAcentral.